RNAcentral lists this ribosomal RNA (548 nucleotides) under uncultured bacterium. RNAcentral's name for it is "partial 16S ribosomal RNA". It matches the Rfam family "Bacterial small subunit ribosomal RNA", at positions 355 to 895 of the family's 1533-position model. The record is from RNAcentral.
UGGGGAAUAUUGCACAAUGGGCGCAAGCCUGAUGCAGCCAUGCCGCGUGUGUGAAGAAGGCCUUCGGGUUGUAAAGCACUUUCAGCGAGGAGGAAGGUGGUGAACUUAAUACGUUCAUCAAUUGACGUUACUCGCAGAAGAAGCACCGGCUAACUCCGUGCCAGCAGCCGCGGUAAUACGGAGGGUGCAAGCGUUAAUCGGAAUUACUGGGCGUAAAGCGCACGCAGGCGGUUUGUUAAGUCAGACGUGAAAUCCCCGGGCUCAACCUGGGAACUGCAUUUGAAACUGGCAAGCUAGAGUCUCGUAGAGGGGGGUAGAAUUCCAGGUGUAGCGGUGAAAUGCGUAGAGAUCUGGAGGAAUACCGGUGGCGAAGGCGGCCCCCUGGACGAAGACUGACGCUCAGGUGCGAAAGCGUGGGGAGCAAACAGGAUUAGAGUACCCUGGUAGUCCACGCUGUAAACGAUGUCGAUUGGAGGUUGUGCCCUUGAGGCGUGGCUUCCGGAGCUAACGCGUUAAAUCGACCGCCUGGGGAGUACGGCCGCAAGGUU